This 278-nucleotide non-coding RNA is filed under the name Eustigmatophyceae sp. WTwin 8/9 T-6m6.8. The record is from RNAcentral. Lineage: Eukaryota; Eustigmatophyceae.
GGGGCUGUUAUACGGUUUUCGACGAUUGAUUUUAAUACAAGAAAAAACAAACAAUGUUUGAAUAAUCAUUUAAAAACAAAGCAAACUUGUUUUGCUUAAUUUUCUGAAAAUUUUUUCAUCCUUAAAAAGGUAAUAUUCAUUAAAUUCAAAACUUUAGGAAUUAUUUAAUUCACUAUAUGUUUAUAAUUAUAAUUGAAUUUAAUUCAUUUUGAUUAUAUACUAAAUCUAAAUUAUCUUUGAUUUUCAGUCGGAUGUAGGUUCAAAUCCUACCAGCUCCA